GUGUGCUAAGUAUCAACAAUGGCCAGCAAAUCCAAAAAUAGAUCCAUCGGACGCAUGUUGUGCCGUGUGGCAAAAGGCAAACAUCCCAUGCCUUUGCGCUGGUGUCACCAAGGAGAAAGAGAAGAUAUAUUGUAUGGAGAAGGUUGGCUACGUUGCCAAUUUCUGCAAGAAGCCGUUCCCACAUGGCUACAGGUGCGGAAGUUACACAUUCCCUCCUAUGGCGUAGUGACUCUAGUUUAGUUGUGGGAGGAGAAGCUUGGCUUUUACAUUCCAUGUGCCUGGCCUCACAAUAGCUUUCCUUUCAGAUCUGUAAGUCGUGAGGUUGUGCUCAGAAAAGUUUAUGUUAAGCAUUUUGUAUGAGAACGUUUCUGAAACUAAUAAAGCCUUCUCCUCAAAUAGUCUAAAUUAUUUUUGCA
Molecule: long non-coding RNA, 416 nt
Organism: Triticum dicoccoides
Lineage: Eukaryota; Viridiplantae; Streptophyta; Magnoliopsida; Poales; Poaceae
Exons: 2
Source: RefSeq, a predicted model, not a curated record